RNAcentral lists this transfer RNA (84 nucleotides) under bacterium. Its description in RNAcentral is "tRNA-Leu". It matches the Rfam family "tRNA". Rfam says of the family: Transfer RNA (tRNA) molecules are approximately 80 nucleotides in length. Their secondary structure includes four short double-helical elements and three loops (D, anti-codon, and T loops). The record is from RNAcentral.
GCCCAGGUGGUGGAAUUGGUAGACACGUCGGACUCAAAAUCCGAUGAAUGAAAAUUCGUGAGGGUUCAAGUCCCUCCCUGGGCA